RNAcentral lists this transfer RNA (82 nucleotides) under Dreissena polymorpha. It matches the Rfam family "tRNA". Rfam says of the family: Transfer RNA (tRNA) molecules are approximately 80 nucleotides in length. Lineage: Eukaryota; Metazoa; Mollusca; Bivalvia; Myida; Dreissenidae. The record is from Rfam by way of RNAcentral.
GUUGCCGUGACCGAGUGGUUAAGGCGAUAGACUUGAAAUCUUUUGGGAUUUUCCGGCACAGGUUUGUAUCCUGCUGACAACG